This is a long non-coding RNA of Sciurus carolinensis (gray squirrel), 848 nucleotides long. RefSeq lists it as uncharacterized. NCBI's taxonomy places the organism in Eukaryota, Metazoa, Chordata, Mammalia, Rodentia, Sciuridae. The record is from RefSeq and is a predicted model, not a curated record. The transcript has 3 exons.
UGUCCUCCACUGCCCGCUCCCACCAUGAUGUGCUACGCUGCGACGGGGCUGGGAAACCAUGGGCCUCCUUCCAAGUUGAUCGCCUCAGGUGUUUCAUCACAGUGCGGAAGUUGAACCACGAAUCCCACCUUCCACAGAAGCCAGAGUUCAAGAACACCGGUGCGGCCGCAACCCUGGGGAUCGUCCACAGGCACAUGCCUGGAGCCAGGUGCCUGCAGCAGAGGGCGGGCAGCUCCGGUGCCCUUCUCGACCCUGAUUUGUUGUUGCUUCCCCUUCAUCAACAACGUGGGGUUUCCAGAAUCUGAAAAGACUAGAGAGAAGUGACCCAGGGCUGAUGCAAACCAGCCAUAUUUCCUGGAAAAGAAUGCAUCCGCAGGACUCAAGCUCGCCCCGGUUUGCAAAGCUGAGGCAACGCACACUCCAGAUGCCGGCAGCAGCUGGAGAGGCUGCGGCUCUUCUUCACACUUAGGAAAACACACUCUAGUUCACAGCUGAUGGAUUCCUGGGCGUUCAUGAGUCACUCGUCAGGAACAAAGAAGCCUCAGUCUGCCACAUCCACGGGCCGCGAUUUCAACAGCGUGGGUGCCCAGGGUUUUUCUGAAAUCUGAAAAUGUGCCUCGGAGGUGCCCUGAAGCACCUGGCAGCAGCUGCUCUCCUGAUCCACAGCUCGGUGCUCUUCGUCGGAGCUUGUCGGCAUCGUUUGCGUGCAGAUGUCACCGGGUGCGUGACAGGGGGUCCAGGAAGCAGUUUCAGGCACUCUGCUUGUUCCCUCCAGCAGGACCCAGGGUGGCUUCCCAGACUGGCUCACUGCGCAUGCAUAAGGCGCCUGAUGUCAGGCUGCCGGCCUC